Molecule: non-coding RNA, 115 nt
Organism: Gossypium hirsutum (cotton)
Lineage: Eukaryota; Viridiplantae; Streptophyta; Magnoliopsida; Malvales; Malvaceae
Source: Rfam
UGUUAAAAAUUUCAUUCAUUUGUGCUAUCAAAAACUGGUUUAGCGUGCCAUGUGUAUCUUAUGUUGAUGUACAAAAACCAGUUUUUAAUAGUAGAAAUGAAUGGAGUUCUUACCA